AUUGAACGCUGGCGGCAGGCUUAACCCAUGCAAGUCGAGCGGAGAUGAGGUGCUUGCACCUUAUCUUAGCGGCGGACGGGUGAGUAAUGCUUAGGAAUCUGCCUAUUAGUGGGGUACAACAUUCCUAAAGGAAUGCUAAUCCCGCAUACGUCCUACGGUAAAAAGUAGGGGAUCUUCGGACCUGGCGCUAUUUGGUGAUCCUAAGUCGGAUUAGCUAGUUGGUGGGGUAAAGGUCUACCAAGGCGAAGAUCUGUUGCGGGUCUGAGAGGAUGAUCCGCCACACUGGGACUGAGACACGGCCCAGACUCCUUGGGGAGGCAGCAGUGGGGAAUAUUGGACAAUGGGGGGGACCCUGAUCCAGCCAUGCCGCGUGUGUGAAGAAGGCCUUAUGGUUGUAAGGCACUUUAAGCGAGGAGGAGGCUACUGAGACUAAUACUCUUGGAUAGUGGACGUUACUCGCAGAAUAAGCACCGGCUAACUCUGUGCCAGCAGCCGCAGUAA
This 501-nucleotide ribosomal RNA is filed under the name uncultured bacterium. RNAcentral's name for it is "partial 16S ribosomal RNA". It matches the Rfam family "Bacterial small subunit ribosomal RNA", at positions 30 to 523 of the family's 1533-position model. The record is from RNAcentral.